CUUACUUUGUCUAAUUUGUCCCUCAAAACAGCUUGUGAGGCAAGUGUGAUUAUUUUUCCAUUUUGCAGUGGAGGAAACUUUAGAAGAAAUUCUAAAAAUCACACAGUAGAAAAGAGAUCAGAACCAGGACUUGAACUUACUUCUCUUUGGAUUCGAAAGCCUGGGCUCCUGCCAUACACUGAGGGAAACUUAGAGUUUCAUUUGGUCACCACUGUAGUAAAGUUCUUUCCGGUACUGUGGAAAGGAUUGCAGGCCCAACCAUACGGAUCCCAUGAACCUGCACAGCUGCCCAGAGCAAAGACAGUGACUUGUACCUGCCAGAUCUGAGGUGCUCAGUUCUCAUCACUUUAUGCUCACCAUUUGGAGUGCUUUAUACCAACAAACUAGAAUGUAGCUGCUGUGGAAGUAGUGGACUCAGACGUCGUCCUUGUCUCAGGUGGAGUUCACGGCCUGCAUCUGCAGCAAGUUUGCAUGCUUUUUCCUCUGGAACCUCCAGGCUUCAUCAGGCCAUGAUGAGUCAGAUGCAUUUAGACGUGAUCCGGUGUGUUGGCAUGCAGAAAGUGGGUGAUUGGGCCGACAGACGUAUCCGUUGAAGCAGUACUAAGGAGCUUGUAUGCUACAAACACAGGACUUCUGAUAAAAU
Molecule: long non-coding RNA, 643 nt
Filed under: Equus asinus (donkey)
Lineage: Eukaryota; Metazoa; Chordata; Mammalia; Perissodactyla; Equidae
Description: lncRNA (ENSEASG00005032283.1)
Source: RNAcentral